Molecule: long non-coding RNA, 727 nt
Organism: Pezoporus occidentalis (night parrot)
Lineage: Eukaryota; Metazoa; Chordata; Aves; Psittaciformes; Psittacidae
Exons: 3
Source: RefSeq, a predicted model, not a curated record
CUGCAGGAAUAAGUUUGUUGCUGACUUAGUGGGAAGUAGAUGCCUCAAUAUUUGGAUAGAUCUGAUCUUUGGAUUUGGAAGCUUGAUGCCCAUAGUGGGACAAUCGCUUUAGCAAACCACAGUAGAAGGGACAUAGAGUCAUUAGCAAUGAAUGAGAGAGAUUUUAUUUGUGCAAGUUGAUAAAAUCAGGGCAAAAUCAGAGCUUUCUGUGUGAGUUUCUGUAAAUAAGCUGCCUGUAUAGUGGAGUGAAUUUGGCACAUCUGGCCGUAGGAUUUAUGUGGCUUUUGUAGCCCUCAGUCCGGAGAUAGCAGAGGGGGCUGAAGCUCUUAUUGCAGAUACCUCCAUCAAUUCUUGAAUUAUCUUGGCAGAGGUCUUUGCUGUGAUUCAUUGCAGACAACGAGGAAGGACUCUGGCAGGUGAUGUAUUGCUCUAAAGCCCAGCUAGGCUUGUCACAACCCUUUCACUGCUCCUGAAGUAGGAUAGAAAGCUGUGUGUGUAUCUGGAGUCUUCCAGCAAGCAUUGCCUUCACAUGUAGCUUUGUGCUGCCAUGCCUGUUCUGCCAAGGUUGUCAGGCAUGUGUUGGCCCACACAUUUCCUUGUGUUGCAACUGCAUCUGGAUAUCUGGGCAGACAGGUUAGGGGCUAGCUAUUACCUGCCUGGACCGAGCUUUUGGUUGGUGUAAAUCCAAGAAAGCCAACUUGUCUCCACUGCACAUACGGCCCCAUUG